RNAcentral lists this ribosomal RNA (274 nucleotides) under uncultured bacterium. Its description in RNAcentral is "partial 16S ribosomal RNA". It matches the Rfam family "Bacterial small subunit ribosomal RNA", at positions 523 to 796 of the family's 1533-position model. The record is from RNAcentral.
AUACGGAGGGUGCAAGCGUUAUCCGGAAUCACUGGGUUUAAAGGGUGCGUAGGCGGCUCAAUAAGUCAGAGGUGAAAUCUUUCUGCUUAACAGAAAAAUUGCCUUUGAAACUGUAGAGCUUGAAUCAAGUUGAGGUUGGCGGAAUGUGACAUGUAGCGGUGAAAUGCAUAGAUAUGUCAUAGAACACCAAAUGCGAAGGCAGCUAACUAGGCUUGUAUUGACGCUGAGGCACGAAAGCGUGGGGAGCGAACAGGAUUAGAAACCCCGGUAGUCC